This 254-nucleotide ribosomal RNA is filed under the name uncultured prokaryote. RNAcentral's name for it is "partial 16S ribosomal RNA". It matches the Rfam family "Bacterial small subunit ribosomal RNA", at positions 524 to 776 of the family's 1533-position model. The record is from RNAcentral.
GACAUAGGUGGCAAACGUUAUCCGGAAUUACUGGGCGUAAAGUGUGCGUAGGUGGUUUAACAAGUUACUGGUGGCAAAUCGGGGCCCAACCCCGUGGAAGUUGGUAAUACUGUUGAACUAGAGGAUCGGAGAGGUUAACGGAAUUCUAUGUGUAGCGGUAAAAUGCUCAAAUAUAUAGAGGAACACCAAACGGCGAAGGCAGUUAACUAUUCGAUGCCUGACGUUGAGGCACGAAAGCGUGGGGAGCAAGACGG